CCUACGGGAGGCAGCAGUGAGGAAUCUUGGUCAAUGGACGAGAGCCUGAACGAGCCACGCAGCGUGAAGGAUGACUGCCCUCUGGGUUGUAAACUUCUUUUAUAUGGGAAUAAAAUGUUGCAAGUGUGGGAUUAUGUUUGUACCAUAUGAAUAAGGAUAGGCUAACUACGCUCCAGCAGCCGCGGUAAUACGGAGGAUCCGAGCGUUAUCCGGAUUUAUUGGGUUUAAAGGGAGCGUAGGUGGACUGUUAAGUCAGUUGUGAAAGUUUGCGGCUCAACCGGAAAAUUGCAGUUGAAACUGGCAGUCUUGAGUGCAGUAGAGGUGGGCGGAAUUCGAGGUGUAGCGGUGAAAUGCGUAGAUAUCUCGAAGAACUCCAGUUGCGAAGGUAGCUCACUGGACUGCAACUGACACUGAGGCUCGAAAGUGUGGGUAGCAAACAGGAUUAGAUACCCUGGUAGUC
Molecule: ribosomal RNA, 460 nt
Filed under: uncultured bacterium
Lineage: Bacteria
Description: partial 16S ribosomal RNA
Rfam family: Bacterial small subunit ribosomal RNA
Source: RNAcentral